GAUGAACGCUGGCGGCGUGCCUAAUACAUGCAAGUCGAGCGAACGGACGAGAAGCUUGCUUCUCUGAUGUUAGCGGCGGACGGGUGAGUAACACGUGGAUAAUCUACCUAUAAGACUGGGAUAACUUCGGGAAACCGGAGCUAAUACCGGAUAAUAUUUUGAACCGCAUGGUUCAAAAGUGAAAGACGGUCUUGCUGUCACUUAUAGAUGGAUCCGCGCUGCAUUAGCUAGUUGGUAAGGUAACGGCUUACCAAGGCAACGAUGCAUAGCCGACCUGAGAGGGUGAUCGGCCACACGGGAACUGAGACACGGUCCAGACUCCUACGGGAGGCAGCAGUAGGGAAUCGUCCGCAAUGGGCGAAAGCCUGACGGAGCAACGCCGCGUGAGUGAUGAAGGUCUUCGGAUCGUAAAACUCUGUUAUUAGGGAAGAACAUAUGUGUAAGUAACUGUGCACAUCUUGACGGUACCUAAUCAGAAAGCCACGGCUAACUACGUG
RNAcentral lists this ribosomal RNA (497 nucleotides) under uncultured bacterium. Its description in RNAcentral is "partial 16S ribosomal RNA". It matches the Rfam family "Bacterial small subunit ribosomal RNA", at positions 28 to 507 of the family's 1533-position model. The record is from RNAcentral.